This 497-nucleotide ribosomal RNA is filed under the name uncultured bacterium. RNAcentral's name for it is "partial 16S ribosomal RNA". It matches the Rfam family "Bacterial small subunit ribosomal RNA", at positions 28 to 507 of the family's 1533-position model. The record is from RNAcentral.
GAUGAACGCUGGCGGCGUGCCUAAUACAUGCGAGUCGAGCGAACAGACGAGGAGCUUGCUCCUCUGACGUUAGCGGCGGACGGGUGAGUAACACGUGGAUAACCUACCUAUAAGACUGGGAUAACUUCGGGAAACCGGAGCUAAUACCGGAUAAUAUAUUGAACCGCAUGGUUCAAUAGCGAAAGACGGUUUUGCUGUCACUUAUAGAUGGAUCCGCGCCGCAUUAGCUAGUUGGUAAGGUAACGGCUUACCAAGGCAACGAUGCGUAGCCGACCUGAGAGGGUGAUCGGCCACACUGGAACUGAGACACGGUCCAGACUCCUACGGGAGGCAGCAGUAGGGAAUCUUCCGCAAUGGGCGAAAGCCUGACGGAGCAACGCCGCGUGAGUGAUGAAGGUCUUCGGAUCGUAAAACUCUGUUAUUAGGGAAGAACAAAUGUGUAAGUAACUAUGCACGUCUUGACGGUACCUAAUCAGAAAGCCACGGCUAACUACGUG